This is a long non-coding RNA of Mustela lutreola (European mink), 1953 nucleotides long. RefSeq lists it as uncharacterized. The record is from RefSeq and is a predicted model, not a curated record. The transcript has 4 exons. NCBI's taxonomy places the organism in Eukaryota, Metazoa, Chordata, Mammalia, Carnivora, Mustelidae.
CAGCGUGUGCCAACCCUGUGUGAGGAUGGAGCAUGGCGGUUUCCCAGGACUGCAAAGGGACCUGGGCGAACCUCCUGGCCUGCAGAUUUAUUAACUUCAUCUCCUGUGAUGUUGUCAGGACGCAUCAGGCCCCCCGAGCCCAGUCAACUUUGCGGAGCGACAGGAGUGAGUUUGUCCCAGGAUGCGAAUUGUGUGACUUUCCUGAUUCAUCCCAGCAAGAGAGUGUGGCCCAAUCAGCUCUUCGGUGAAGAAGACAAUUGUCUCUCCCACAAGUUCUCUGUAAGGCAUUUUAAAAGGAAAAGGGAAAAAGUGCUUUGACCCAAACUACCCUGCAUGAUGGGCAAAUUGUCUCAAGGAGACAACCUUAAUGGCUGAGUAGAGCAAGAGAGAGCACAAGUGGGAGCAGGAGAGGGAGAGAGAACCUCAAGAAGACUCCAUGCUGGGCACAGAACCAACGAAGGGCUCAAUCUCAUGACCCCCAGGUCUUGAACUGAGCUGAAAUCAAGAGUUGAAUGUUUAACUGACUUCUCUACUCAGGUGUCUCUAUUUUGUUUCUUUAUUAAUUCUCUACUUUUUGAAUUUUCUAAAUUGAGCACAUAUUGCUCUGACGAUCUGAAAAAAUGUUAAAGCAACUGGAAAAAGUAAAACCAAACUGAACACAGCCGUCCCUCCCUCCGCCACAUCAUCGUUCCUUGGGUCUGGCCUUGCCCUGACCUUUAUCAUUGGGUCAAAGUGGGCCGCCGAACUCUGUUGGGUGAAUGGGCCCGGGUAGGUGAUAAUGACUAGUUCGCACCAGAAACUAGAAACUGAGGUACCAGAUCUCAACCCGUGAUUCUCUUUCUUGAUUUUUGUUGUUGUUGUUUUGUUUUAAGAUUUUACUUAUUUGUCAGAGAGAGAGAGUAUACAAGCAGGGAAAGAGGCAGGCAGGAGAAGCUGGAUCCCCGUGAGCAAGGAGCCUGAUGUGCGACUUGAUCUCAGGACCUUAGGAUCAUGACCUGAGGCAAAGGCAGACACUUAACUGGCUGAGCCACCCAGGCGUCCCUUUUCUAGUUUUUCUUUUGAGGAUGAUUAUAGAGAUGGAAGGCUCCAUCUCAGAGAUGCCUGGCCCUAGAGGAUAGUGACCUCAGCAAUUGAAUUACACUGAUUCUGUGCCUAAUGAAGAUUUGACAGGUAAUUUCUUUUCAGUCGGCCAAGUCAGAUUGUUUGGCUCAGUGGCAAUGACUGUAGACAGACAUGACGUCCAUGCGUAAUCCUUUUUUUUUUUCCCUCAGAACAUCUCUUUCCUCCAUUGGUCUAAUCAACUGCAUAACUGAAGGAGAAAAGAGGUCAAAUCCCACUUCCAUCCUCUUGAUGAAGGGGUAGGAGAUAGGACGAGGGCAAUUAGAACGCUGUGUGAAGCAAAGUGAUGUUUGAACUGCUAUCAAGCCACCGAGGGGUUCAGAACAGGCCACUUUGUUUCUCCUCAGGGACUGAGGAAUCUUGGCGUUCCUGGAUGUGUUGAAAGACAAACUAUAAAUGGGUAGUUUAGAGCAAGACCAAAUAAAUACAUGCUUUCGCCACAUAGAUUUCAGACUCUUGAGGGAAAGGAGCUAUUUUAUUUGAUUAUAAUUUUCUAGAAUGUGCCACCUACAACUCUAGCAUGGUUAAAAUAGCCUGUAAUAUUUUGUCAUGAGGUGCUUAUGUUAUCUAUUUUUGCAUUUCCCCAUGAGAAGCUAUAAAGGAUGUGUUUAUACUGGUGUCUGUUUUGCCUGUGGCUGUUGCCACUGGAUGAAUCCCUUUGACUGUGUGGAAACAAUUGAAAAGUGUUACAGUGUAUUAUUGCUGAAAGGACAAUGUAAUGAUUGUUUGGAAAUGCCCUUGCCUUUAGGAUGCAGAUGGAUUGUGAUGUGAUAGUCUGGACUGAAAGAACCCUUAUUUUUGUGUUCCCUGUCUCUGGAAGAAGACAUGCUGAAA